UACGUAGGGUGCGAGCGUUGUCCGGAAUUAUUGGGCGUAAAGAGCUUGUAGGCGGUUUGUCGCGUCUGCUGUGAAAAUCCGGGGCUCAACCCCGGGCUUGCAGUGGGUACGGGCAGACUAGAGUGUGGUAGGGGAGACUGGAAUUCCUGGUGUAGCGGUGAAAUGCGCAGAUAUCAGGAGGAACACCGAUGGCGAAGGCAGCUCGCUGGGACGGUACUGACGCUGAGGCGCGAAAGCGUGGGGAGCAAACAGG
RNAcentral lists this ribosomal RNA (253 nucleotides) under uncultured bacterium. Its description in RNAcentral is "partial 16S ribosomal RNA". It matches the Rfam family "Bacterial small subunit ribosomal RNA", at positions 524 to 776 of the family's 1533-position model. The record is from RNAcentral.